Molecule: ribosomal RNA, 234 nt
Filed under: Salmonella enterica
Lineage: Bacteria; Pseudomonadati; Pseudomonadota; Gammaproteobacteria; Enterobacterales; Enterobacteriaceae
Description: partial 16S ribosomal RNA
Rfam family: Bacterial small subunit ribosomal RNA
Source: RNAcentral
AAAUUGAAGAGUUUGAUCAUGGCUCAGAUUGAACGCUGGCGGCAGGCCUAACACAUGCAAGUCGAACGGUAACAGGAGGCAGCUUGCUGCUUCGCUGACGAGUGGCGGACGGGUGAGUAAUGUCUGGGAAACUGCCUGAUGGAGGGGGAUAACUACUGGAAACGGUGGCUAAUACCGCAUAACGUCGCAAGACCAAAGAGGGGGACCUUCGGGCCUCUUGCCAUCAGAUGUGCC